AACAAACGCUGGCGGCGUGCCUAAUACAUGCAAGUCGAACGGGGAAAGCUUUCGGGUGAGUACUAGUGGCGCACGGGUGAGGAACGCGUGGAUAAUCUGCCUUAGAGUGGGGGAUAACUAGUCGAAAGAUUAGCUAAUACCGCAUAAGACCACGAGAGCUGCGGCUUUUGAGGUCAAAGGUUUUUCGCUCUAAGAUGAGUCCGCGUAAGAUUAGCUAGUUGGUGAGGUAACGGCUCACCAAGGCGACGAUCUUUAACUGGUCUGAGGGGAUGAUCAGUCACACUGGAACUGAGACACGGUCCAGACUCCUACGGGAGGCAGCAGUAGGGAAUAUUGCACAAUGGAGGAAACUCUGAUGCAGCGACGCCGCGUGAGUGAUGAAGGCCUUCGGGUCGUAAAGCUCUGUCGCAGGGGAAUAACACAAUGAAGGUACCCUGUAAGAAAGGAUCGGCUAACUUCGUG
Molecule: ribosomal RNA, 462 nt
Filed under: uncultured bacterium
Lineage: Bacteria
Description: partial 16S ribosomal RNA
Rfam family: Bacterial small subunit ribosomal RNA
Source: RNAcentral